GUGCCAGCAGCCGCGGUAAUACGUAGGGGGCGAGCGUUGUCCGGAAUGACUGGGCGUAAAGGGUACGUAGGCGGCCAGGUAAGUCAGAUGUGAAAGGCAUAGGCUCAACCUGUGUAAGCAUUUGAAACUGUCUGGCUUGAGUUAAGGAGAGGAAAGUGGAAUUCCUGGUGUAGCGGUGAAAUGCGUAGAUAUCAGGAGGAAUACCAGUGGCGAAGGCGACUUUCUGGACUUAAACUGACGCUGAGGUACGAAAGCGUGGGGAGCAAACAGGAUUAGAUACCCUGGUAGUCCACGCCGUAAACGAUGAGUGCUAGGUGUCGGGGGUUAGACCUCGGUGCCGGAGUUAACACAUUAAGCACUCCGCCUGGGGAGUACGUUCGCAAGAAUGAAACUUAAAUGAAUUGACGG
RNAcentral lists this ribosomal RNA (408 nucleotides) under uncultured bacterium. Its description in RNAcentral is "bacterial SSU rRNA". It matches the Rfam family "Bacterial small subunit ribosomal RNA", at positions 505 to 916 of the family's 1533-position model. The record is from RNAcentral.